AACGCUGGCGGCACGCUUAACACAUGCAAGUCGAACGAGAGAAGAGAAGCUUGCUUUUCUGAUCUAGUGGCGGACGGGUGAGUAACACGUGAGCAAUCUGCCUUUCAGAGGGGGAUACCGAUUGGAAACGAUCGUUAAUACCGCAUAACAUAAUUGAACCGCAUGAUUUGAUUAUCAAAGAUUUAUCGCUGAAAGAUGAGCUCGCGUCUGAUUAGCUAGUUGGUAAGGUAACGGCUUACCAAGGCGACGAUCAGUAGCCGGACUGAGAGGUUGAUCGGCCACAUUGGGACUGAGACACGGCCCAGACUCCUACGGGAGGCAGCAGUGGGGAAUAUUGCACAAUGGAGGAAACUCUGAUGCAGCGAUGCCGCGUGAGGGAAGAAGGUUUUAGGAUUGUAAACCUCUGUCUUCAGGGACGAAAAAAGACGGUACCUGAGGAGGAAGCUCCGGCUAACUACGUGCCAGCAGCCGCGGUAAUACGUAGGGAGCGAGCGUUGUCCGGAAUUACUGGGUGUAAAGGGAGCGUAGGCGGGAUCGCAAGUCAGAUGUGAAAACUAUGGGCUUAACCCAUAAACUGCAUUUGAAACUGUGGUUCUUGAGUGAAGUAGAGGUAAGCGGAAUUCCUAGUGUAGCGGUGAAAUGCGUAGAUAUUAGGAGGAACAUCAGUGGCGAAGGCGGCUUACUGGGCUUUAACUGACGCUGAGGCUCGAAAGCGUGGGGAGCAAACAGGAUUAGAUACCCUGGUAGUCCACGCCGUAAACGAUGAUUACUAGGUGUGGGGGGACUGACCCCUUCCGUGCCGCAGCAAACGCAAUAAGUAAUCCACCUGGGGAGUACGACCGCAAGGUUGAAACUCAAAGGAAUUGACGGGGGCCCGCACAAGCAGUGGAGUAUGUGGAUUAAUUCGAAGCAACGCGAAGAACCUUACCAGGUCUUGACAUCGUAUGCAUAGCUCAGAGAUGAGUGAAAUCUCUUCGGAGACAUAUAGACAGGUGGUGCAUGGUUGUCGUCAGCUCGUGUCGUGAGAUGUUGGGUUAAGUCCCGCAACGAGCGCAACCCUUACUGUUAGUUGCUACGCAAGAGCACUCUAGCAGGACUGCCGUUGACAAAACGGAGGAAGGUGGGGAUGACGUCAAAUCAUCAUGCCCCUUAUGACCUGGGCCUCACACGUACUACAAUGGCUGUCAACAGAGGGAUGCAAAGCCGCGAGGUGGAGCGAACCCCUAAAAGCAGUCUUAGUUCGGAUUGUAGGCUGCAACCCGCCUACAUGAAGUCGGAAUUGCUAGUAAUCGCAGAUCAGCAUGCUGCGGUGAAUACGUUCCCGGGCCUUGUACACACCGCCCGUCACGCCAUGGGAGUCGGUAACACCCGAAGCCUGUAGUCUAACCGCAAGGAGGACGCAGUCGAAGGUGGGAUUGA
This 1419-nucleotide ribosomal RNA is filed under the name uncultured organism. RNAcentral describes it as "16S ribosomal RNA". It matches the Rfam family "Bacterial small subunit ribosomal RNA". The record is from RNAcentral.